RNAcentral lists this long non-coding RNA (547 nucleotides) under Lathyrus oleraceus (garden pea). Its description in RNAcentral is "Pisum sativum (pea) long non-coding RNA (PSAT_LNC031712)". Lineage: Eukaryota; Viridiplantae; Streptophyta; Magnoliopsida; Fabales; Fabaceae. The record is from RNAcentral.
UAGAGGAGAGAAGAAAAUUUCUUCUGAAAACCCUACCGCAACUCAAAAAUACAAGGGGAAAUUCAGAGCUCCUCGGUUGAAGCUUGAACUAACCAAGCUAAACCGCGAACAAAUCGAACACAGAAAAAGAAUUUGAAAGAAAAAGGCACCGAUGUUCUGCAGAAAUUCAUUCAGAAAUACUCAUUGAAGAUUGGGUAAACGGAGCUAAUCUCGGACCAAGCAAAUCAAGCAUAGGAAACUUGAAGGAGAAAGCCAUUUGAGUUAGAUAAAAAAGUAAAGAGAACGCUCACCUGAGAUCCGACUAUCUCGGUAAGCUUCCGACCAAUAUUUUCUUCUCUCUGAUUUUAAAGCGUUAGAACAAGCACUUGAGCAUGAUAGGUUGUUACUAAAAAUCACUCUUUGCCUUGUAUAUAUGCAAAUCAAGCCUUGACUUUCGUUUUCCAUAUAAAUCUCUUUGUGUGAUGCAUGUUGGAUUCAGAUGAUUUGAUUUGUUUUGAUUAACUCGAAACUAGGUAUGACAAAGUUGAGGUUAAUAUUUCGAUCUGAA